AACUUUCAGCAAUGGAUCACUUGGCUCUCGCAUCGAUGAAGAACGCAGCGAAAUGCGAUAAGUAAUGUGACUUGCAGAAUUCAGUGAAUCAUCGAAUCUUUGAACGCACCUUGCACCCUUUGGCAUUCCGAAGGGUAUGCUCGUUUGAGUGUCAUUGUACUCUCACACUCCCGAUGCUUUUGGAUUGGGAGUGGUGGACUUGGGUGUUGCUGCUUUACUGUGGCUCACCUCAAAUGGAGUAGUGCAACUCUUGGUUGGACAUAGUACGGCGUUAUAAGUGUCUUCGCCGGCGCCUCAUUAGAGGGUGGCCGAUCGGGAGCUCUGUGCUUCAAACCGUCUUCGGACAACAUCUGACAACUUGACCUCAAAUCGAGUAGGACUACCCGCUGAACUUAAGCAUAUCAAUAAGCGGAGGCU
This 417-nucleotide unclassified non-coding RNA is filed under the name uncultured Sebacina. RNAcentral's name for it is "sequence contains ITS2". The stretch from base 1 to 154 matches the Rfam family "5.8S ribosomal RNA". Lineage: Eukaryota; Fungi; Basidiomycota; Agaricomycetes; Sebacinales; Sebacinaceae. The record is from RNAcentral.